GUAUAGAGCGGCGACAUUCACCUCCUCCCGAAUGUCGCCGCUACAAGAUCAGCAUACGCGCGCCGACCUCCUCCCCGGCGCACGUCAAUGGCGGCGAUGCCCACCUCCUCCCGGGCAUCGCCGCUUUU
This 128-nucleotide small RNA is filed under the name Palleronia marisminoris. Its description in RNAcentral is "Alphaproteobacterial ar14". It matches the Rfam family "Alphaproteobacterial ar14". Rfam says of the family: Smr14C2 was renamed NfeR1 (Nodule Formation Efficiency RNA) highly expressed in salt stress and during the symbiotic interaction on legume roots. The record is from Rfam by way of RNAcentral. Lineage: Bacteria; Pseudomonadati; Pseudomonadota; Alphaproteobacteria; Rhodobacterales; Roseobacteraceae.